Molecule: long non-coding RNA, 292 nt
Filed under: Nicotiana benthamiana
Lineage: Eukaryota; Viridiplantae; Streptophyta; Magnoliopsida; Solanales; Solanaceae
Description: long non-coding RNA (NBEN_LNC016081)
Source: RNAcentral
AGCUAGCUUUUGGGGUUGAGUUAGGCCCAAGCUCCAUUCUUUUCAUGUGAGAAAAUACGGGAGAAAAAUAUAUAAUUGAUAUAAACAUGAUACAAUGAGCUCCAUAUAUAUAUAUACAUAUAACCUAUCCUACUCCUAAUACACAUUGGAUUAUGGUUCUACUAUUUUACAUAUUCUAACACCCCCCUCAAGCUGAUGCAUAUAAAUCAUAUGUACCGAGCUUGUUACAUAUGUAGUUAAUACGAGGACCAGUGAGAGACUUGGUGAAAAUGUCUGCAAGCUGAUCAUUUGA